This 497-nucleotide ribosomal RNA is filed under the name uncultured bacterium. Its description in RNAcentral is "partial 16S ribosomal RNA". It matches the Rfam family "Bacterial small subunit ribosomal RNA", at positions 28 to 507 of the family's 1533-position model. The record is from RNAcentral.
GAUGAACGCUGGCGGCGUGCCUAAUACAUGCAAGUCGAGUGAACAGACGAUGAUCUUGCUCCGCUGACGUUAGCGGCGGACGUGUGAGUAACGCGUGUAUAACCUACCUAUAAUACUGGUAUAACUUCGGGAAACCGGAGCUAAUACCGUAUAAUAUAUUGAACCGCAUUGUGCGAUAGUGAAAGACGGUGUUUCUGGCACUUAUCGAUGGAUCCGCGCCGCAUUAGAUAGUUGGUAAGGUAACGGCUUACCAAGGCAACGAUGCGUAGACGACGUGACAGGGUGAUAGGCGACAUGAGAACGGAGACACGGUCAAGACUCCUGCGAGAGGGAGCAGUAGGGAAUCUGACGCAAUGGGGGAAAGCAUGACGGAGCAAGGCCGCGUGAGUGAUGACGGUCUUCGGAUCGUAAAAAUCUGUUAUUAGGGAAGAACAAAUGUGUCAGUAAAUAUGCACGUCUUGACGGUACCUAAUAAGAAAGCAACGGCUAACUACGUG